Molecule: non-coding RNA, 105 nt
Organism: Bradyrhizobium sp. LTSP849
Lineage: Bacteria; Pseudomonadati; Pseudomonadota; Alphaproteobacteria; Hyphomicrobiales; Nitrobacteraceae
Source: Rfam
CGCGACGAUGCGGGAGAGAUCACAACGAAGGCCUCUAGCUUUCGUUGUGGCGCCGACGGAGCAACCGCCCCGGAAACUCUCAGGCAAAAGGACUGUAUCGUCAGG